UUCUCCAAGUCGAUAAGCACCAUGUGUAGGUCCUUCUUCUUAUCCCUGAAUUGCUCCGCCAGCCGCCUGACAAGGUGGAUAGCCUCUGUAGAGGAGCGUCUAAGACAGGAAUGCGCAAUUAUACAUCAAUAAUUAUACUUUGAAUGAAAUAUAAUAAAAAUUUCCCCCCAAUUCACCGGAUUGCACAAGUUUACAUCGUUGAAGACAGUCCUAAUUUACUUGCUAAUAGCAAAAGAGAAACAAAAGAAAUUCUUAGCAAAUACUAAGUUGUUUCAGGCAUAUCACCAAACACCUUGGGUUCACUAGUCUUAAUAAUUUAAAAUUUCAACAAACUGAUUAGAAUUUACAAAAAAGUAGAAGAGAACAGAGCAUUAAAAUAAAAAUUCUCUCAAACUAUAAAUAUUUAGAAAGAAAGAACACCAUGAAAAUAUGCCUACAACUUACAAGAAUACUGAUACUGUCAAUAAAUAAACUUUUUUUAAAGUAGAGUAAUGACCCAAUGUUCCAACAACAAGUUUAAAAUUACAGAUUUUUGCAUAGACGUUUCGAUUCAUAAAAUAUUAUUACUGGCAAAAGUUAGAAAAUAAAUCCAAAAGUGAUGAGCAGAAAUCGGAGCAAGAGGAAACAAACAGGAGAAACCUAACCAGAUGUAGCGAAUGAAAUAGAGGCUGCAAAAUAUAUCCAAAGAUCUAACCCACGUUAGUCUCUAAUGGCUGCCUAUGUGUUCUAAGGAUUGGACGGAGGUCAAUGUCGAGGAAGAUAGAGAUAUCAUUGGAGGUUAUUUGUUUCUCGCCGCUGGCUUUGCAGGGGGGAAGGGUUCCUGAAAAAAUAAAAAAAAUUGAAACAAAUUGAACAGAAAUGAAUAAGCAUAAGGGAAGACUCACCAAAAAGCAUACAUAGAGGAAGAAAAAACGACGGAGACAGAUAAAGACGUACCAAAGAUCUAACCCUCGUUGGUCUCUAAUGGCUGCCUAUGUGUUGUAAGGAUUGGACGGAGGUCAAUGUUGAGGAAGAUAGAGAUAUCACUGGAGGUUCUUUGUUUCUCGCCGCUGGUCUUUGGAGGGGGGAAGGGUAACAAAGAAGAACGAUGGGGAAUGGGCGACGACCAGAAGGGAGGAGGGUCUCAAGGUCAAGGUCGAAAAUGGCGCUGCUUUUCUCAUAAGAAGACCCGGGGGAGUUUAGUCUUGUCUCUCGUAGCUUAGCUCUUCAAAACCUAGGCGUUAUUUUUGUGUAUUUAGCAAUUAGGUAGUAGGGUAUAUACAUCUGAUU
RNAcentral lists this long non-coding RNA (1269 nucleotides) under Nicotiana benthamiana. Its description in RNAcentral is "long non-coding RNA (NBEN_LNC035870)". Lineage: Eukaryota; Viridiplantae; Streptophyta; Magnoliopsida; Solanales; Solanaceae. The record is from RNAcentral.